This 484-nucleotide ribosomal RNA is filed under the name uncultured bacterium. RNAcentral's name for it is "partial 16S ribosomal RNA". It matches the Rfam family "Bacterial small subunit ribosomal RNA", at positions 30 to 507 of the family's 1533-position model. The record is from RNAcentral.
AUUGAACGCUGGCGGCAGGCCUAACACAUGCAAGUCGAGCGGAUGAAGGGAGCUUGCUCCUGGAUUCAGCGGCGGACGGGUGAGUAAUGCCUAGGAAUCUGCCUGGUAGUGGGGGAUAACGUCCGGAAACGGGCGCUAAUACCGCAUACGUCCUGAGGGAGAAAGUGGGGGAUCUUCGGACCUCACGCUAUCAGAUGAGCCUAGGUCGGAUUAGCUAGUUGGUGGGGUAAAGGCCUACCAAGGCGACGAUCCGUAACUGGUCUGAGAGGAUGAUCAGUCACACUGGAACUGAGACACGGUCCAGACUCCUACGGGAGGCAGCAGUGGGGAAUAUUGGACAAUGGGCGAAAGCCUAGUCCAGCCAUGCCGCGUGUGUGAAGAAGGUCUUCGGAUUGUAAAGCACUUUAAGUUGGGAGGAAGGGCAGUAAGUUAAUACCUUGCUGUUUUGACGUUACCAACAGAAUAAGCACCGGCUAACUUCGUG